UUCACGUCGUCGGCGGGGUAGAACUUGGGCUCGGCGACCGCGGCGGGCUUCUCGGCCUUGGGGAAGGCGCCGCCAUGCUUGGCCUUGAUUGCCCACAGCCCACGGCGGUGGUACGCGUGCGACCGCGAGGCCUUCUUGAUGCCCAUCGACAGCUUAGACGACGGCGCCAUUGGAUCGUCUCGCGGCGCGGCGGCAGCGGGGCGGCGGCGGCGGCGGCGGCAGGGAGUGGAGGCGGAGGUGGAAGAG
This 246-nucleotide long non-coding RNA is filed under the name Setaria italica (foxtail millet). RNAcentral's name for it is "long non-coding RNA (SITA_LNC005294)". The record is from RNAcentral. Lineage: Eukaryota; Viridiplantae; Streptophyta; Magnoliopsida; Poales; Poaceae.